RNAcentral lists this non-coding RNA (50 nucleotides) under Devosia sp. Root413D1. RNAcentral describes it as "Guanidine-II riboswitch aptamer (mini-ykkC)". It matches the Rfam family "Guanidine-II riboswitch aptamer (mini-ykkC)". Rfam says of the family: Simpler in structure and has fewer highly conserved nucleotide positions than the ykkC-yxkD leader. Despite this each of its two stem-loop structures directly bind free guanidine. The record is from Rfam by way of RNAcentral. Lineage: Bacteria; Pseudomonadati; Pseudomonadota; Alphaproteobacteria; Hyphomicrobiales; Devosiaceae. RNAcentral also lists the same sequence under 1 other name.
CGAUCGGGACGACCCGAUCCAUGAGGUGGGCAUUGGCCGGGACGACCCGG